GCUGGCGGCAUGCUUAACACAUGCAAGUCGAACGGCAGCAUGGUUUAUCUUCGGAUAAAUGAUGGCGAGUGGCGGACGGGUGAGUAACGCGUAGGAAUCUACCUUAUUGUGGGGGAUAACUCAGGGAAACUUGAGCUAAUACCGCAUAGUCUCUAAGGAGUAAAGCUGGGGAUCGUUUUUUAAGACCUGGUGCAAUAAGAUGAGCCUGCGUCAGAUUAGCUUGUUGGUGGGGUAAAGGCCUACCAAGGCGACGAUCUGUAGCUGGUUUGAGAGAACGAUUAGCCACACUGGGACUGAGACACGGCCCAGACUCCUACGGGAGGCAGCAGUGGGGAAUAUUGGACAAUGGGCGAAAGCCUGAUCCAGCAAUGCCGCGUGUGCGAUGAAGGCCUUCGGGUUGUAAAGCACUUUCAGUAGUGAGGAAGAAUACGGUAUUAAUACCACCAGUAUUUUGACGUUAGCUACAGAAGAAGCACCGGCUAACUCUGUG
RNAcentral lists this ribosomal RNA (490 nucleotides) under uncultured bacterium. RNAcentral describes it as "bacterial SSU rRNA". It matches the Rfam family "Bacterial small subunit ribosomal RNA", at positions 35 to 507 of the family's 1533-position model. The record is from RNAcentral.